CCCCAUCCUUACGGGAUGGGGCUGAAAUAUACCGGGCUUUCAGCCCU
This 47-nucleotide small RNA is filed under the name Tannerella forsythia 92A2. Its description in RNAcentral is "Acido-Lenti-1 RNA". It matches the Rfam family "Acido-Lenti-1 RNA". The record is from Rfam by way of RNAcentral. Lineage: Bacteria; Pseudomonadati; Bacteroidota; Bacteroidia; Bacteroidales; Tannerellaceae.